CAGUCGCCGCGGUAAUACAGAGGGUGCGAGCGUUAAUCGGAUUUACUGGGCGUAAAGCGUGCGUAGGCGGCUUCUUAAGUCGGAUGUGAAAUCCCUGAGCUUAACUUAGGAAUUGCAUUCGAUACUGGGAAGCUAGAGUAUGGGAGAGGAAGGUAGAAUUCCAGGUGUAGCGGUGAAAUGCGUAGAGAUCUGGAGGAAUACCGAUGGCGAAGGCAGCCAUCUGGCCUAAUACUGACGCUGAGGUACGAAAGCAUGGGGAGCAAACAGGAUUAGAUACCCCCGUAGUCCCUGUCUCUUAUAC
RNAcentral lists this ribosomal RNA (301 nucleotides) under uncultured bacterium. RNAcentral describes it as "partial 16S ribosomal RNA". It matches the Rfam family "Bacterial small subunit ribosomal RNA", at positions 509 to 807 of the family's 1533-position model. The record is from RNAcentral.